Molecule: long non-coding RNA, 28716 nt
Filed under: Triticum aestivum (bread wheat)
Lineage: Eukaryota; Viridiplantae; Streptophyta; Magnoliopsida; Poales; Poaceae
Description: long non-coding RNA (TAES_LNC012948)
Source: RNAcentral
UGAAUACUUGCUACAGAUUUUUUUUAUUUGAAAUACAGAGAGAAAGAACGGUCGUUGCACGACCGACCUAAACACAAACCACCUUCCUAAUGACUCGUGCCAUCCCACGAAUCAGAUCCUGCGUCCAGGAUCUACAGCUCCACUAUUAUCGCGUGCGAUCUGAUGUGCCAUGCCAUCCCAUGACUCGGUUCACGACGCGGUAGAAACAGGAGCGACCCCAACCUGACACAUGGACUCGAUGCAUGGACUCGACGCAAACAUGCUUGCUGUCGAGACCGACUCUCAGUGUGUACCAUCUGCUCGCAGGCAGGUCUAUGGCACGUUAUUUGGAACAAACAGACUGAAGGGAAAAAAACCUAGGGCAUUCACUUAGUUUACAUCAAUGGAUCAGCCCUCAAUCCACAAACCCACAUGGCGAAGUUGUCUUAGUGAAUCUCGUCGUUCUCCGAGUCGGAUAAGUGGUUGUCAACCUGCUCGUCCCAAGCCUGCCAUGCCGUCAUCCCCAAACACUACAUCGAGAUCCAUUACAUUACAUCAUGACCAGGUGGAAAAAACUGAAAUCUUGGAAAAAUUGAAAGGAGAUCGAGUUCAUACCCUCCUCAUCUGGACACGGCGGUUCUUGAACCAGAAUUUGAUCUGCUGGGGCUGCACGCCAAGUUCGCGGCCGAGAUGGGCAUGCUGGGUCUCAUCAGGGUUGGGGCACACCUUGAAAGUCCUGCAGUUUUCAAAAAACGAAAACGAAAACCUUGAAUACCCUGUACAUGGAUCACCAUGAAAAUAUGACACGAGAAAUAAGCCAUAGGAAAUGGUGCUUGAUCAACCUCUCGAGGAUCUGAAUCUGGUUGUCACUUAGAUCGAUUGUUACCAAUUUCUUGCUUGCUCGCUCACUCUCCCAGGCUGCCUAGAGGAACAGGAAGUGGAGGCAGGAAGAUAUCUUCGUUCUGGAUGCUAUCUGACCUCUGGUUUGCUCCUAUUUAUACAUGAGAGGGUGCUAUUUCUCCUCUGUCAUAGUGCUGGCGCAAAGAAGCAUCCGUCUGUGUGACCUCUGGCUUGCUGCUGGCAGACUCCUGGCCGGUCUCUCUUAAUGCCUCCUAGUAUUUGGCUUCUUCCACCCUAUAAUGCUGACCGUCCUUCCCUGUAUUGCUCGGGAGCGCCAGCAGCAGAAACGUUGGCUUUGACUUCUGACAACCUUGGCGGGCUCGCUGGGUGGUCUUGUUGGUUUCUCUUUAUGCCUCUCUCUUGGCUUUGUCCCUGUCUUGCUCGGGAGCGCCAGCAGUAGCGUGGUAGUACUAGUAACUGAUGCAUUGUCAGAAGUGUAUCAACACAUUCAUUUUAUCAGAAGUACUAUUGGGUUUAUUGACCUCCGAUAUAAGAAGCAGUGCUUUCCGAUUUAAACCAUAUAAUCUAUAGUUUUAUUUAGCAGAAUUUGCUAAUAACCUUCAAAUCAAACAACUUAAGAGUUUAUGGACCUGCUUCUGUACGUGUCCUACUGGGUUUGGGCCAAGAAAUCAGAGAGACCUGAAAAUGGCCUGUGACAUGUCUUGAGUUCUUAAUUUUUCCCCUCCCACAAUUAACAUUGUUCCUCUUGUAGAAAGGGAGAUAAUUAAUCCUGAAGUUACAUCCAUGUAUGGCUUGUUAACCAUUAUAAUAAAUUCUGCAAUAUUUUAGCAUGCAAUUGAUAGGCAUUAAUUUCCAGCCUCUUAUGUAUGGAUAUCAAAUUAUUGAAGCCAUAGUACGGGUGGGUCGUUAUCCUCUAAACCGUAAUAUGGGAUCAUAUUCGAUGUAAGAAAACUAGCAUAUAACAAUGACCGACCUAUUAUUGCAAGCACUAUCAUGUAUCUGCAGGCUAGAUAUGGCAAUAUGUUUCCUUCAGUGCACCAUUGCACUCCUUUUACAAUGGACUUUCUUUUACAAUAUAUGUUCAUCACUUCAUCUACAUGGGAGAUUUUAUUUAGUCUUUUUUUUAUUAAACAUGAAACAACACAACAUCAAGACCUUGAUCCACAAUUCUUGUUGCAUGGUAUAUAUUUCACUCCGAUGAAAGUUGUGAAGUAACAUGCCUUUUUCCAAAAGAUUAUUUCCCGUCGCUUGUUCCAAACACACGACACAUCCUUCGGCCAUAAAACUACAACAACUACUACUAGGGAUAACCCGAGCAGUCGUGCUUGUUUUAUAGCUAUCAGUAGCGCUUGUACAAGCGCUACCAGUAAGGCGCUACAACUAACUGGUAGCGAUAGCGCUGGUUUUCUAGCGCUACUGCUAUACCUACUUAGCAGUAGCGCUCGGUAGGGAAAAGCACUACUGAUAAUAGUAAGUAGCAGUAGCGUUUCUCUUGAAAAGCGCUACUGCUAAAUUUUCCUGUAUUUUUGAAAAUGCAGCUUAUUGUCGCUAUAUUUGUAUAGGUUUUAUAUACAGUACUUUCAUCACAUGAUUUUAUGACCAUGAUUAGUUAUUAUAUAUAACAGUGGGUGAAAUGAACGUGGUGAUUCAAGUAGAGUCAACAUGUGGUGCAUGUUGAAAGUACUACUAAUCCAAACUUGAUCUAGUUUGGAUUUGUUGUAUUUUCGAUGUGCACCACAUGUUGCCUCCACUUGAAUCUAAUCCAUGCUCAUUUCACCCACUGAUAUACUCCCUCCAUUCCCUUAUACAAGGCCACAAACUCAUAUUACAGAUACCAAGAUAAAACUUAAUGACUCCUUUGCAAGUCCACUUUUCUUUUCGUUAUCCGGGAUUAUUAAUACACCACAAGCAUGCAACGAAUGAAUGGGAAGGAACUGUCUGAGUGUCAUUAUGACUACAUGCAUGUAAGUAUUAAAAAGUUGCUAGUACGAAGAAACAUCAUUAAUUUUUGCGUCGAUUACUGUUGGUAGCCUUGUAUUGAUGCAAAAUGUAUUUUUGAUAGUGGCCUUGUAUAAGGGAAUGGAGGGAGUAUAUAAUAACUCAUCAUGCUCAUAUACAACUUAGCAUCAUACAUCAUCAUAAUAAUAAAUAACUCAUCAUUGGUAUCAUAAUAACAAGUCCUACUCAUCAUCAUCAUACAACUUCUACUCGUUAUCAUAAUAACAAGUCAUACUCAUCAUCAUCCUAGUCAUCUAACCAACUCUACUUAAUUGUUCUUAGCACAUGAUCAUGAGUAUUAGCUAGGACCUAACUACCCUAUCUAAGGUAAAAUAGCAUAAAACAAGAUAGGCCCUAAAUCUCCACUAUGGAGAAUGGAGAUUAUCCUGUCUCCAGUUCUUGCGUUUCGCAUAAUGUUGCUUCCAUGUAGCUCCCUAUGAUUUUCUAUACAUUUUUUCCAAUCUUUGAUUGUCAUGUCUUCAUCGAUAUUAGAAAUCCGGUAUGAACAGCAGUGAAGCCUAGGAUGACCUGACCGUAAGCUCAUAGCAUCAAGGCGACCUUUCGGAAGCAUCAGAUCAGCACACAAUCCUUCGGGAUUUUCUGUUGAAAAACAUAGUAAUAACUCCGUAGUUAGCAAUGUAGUUUAGUUUUAGAAGAAUUUAUGCAAAGGAUGCAUGGAUGUCGUAAUAGUAAAAAAAUCUUACCAUGCAAUCUCCAUGGAUGUUACCGUAGUUCAACACGUGCACUAGUGGCACGUAUUGACCAUAAUGUGCAGGAGUUUGAUAAUUGAUAUUGUAAUUCUCAACAUCAUUAAUAAAUGAGAUAAGAUGAUCUUUCUCCUAAUAAGUUAAUUCUGCACCAUCAGUAUAGUAGGUUCUGUCUACCAUCUUGCGUACAUUUUUUGAAGAAUGAAAAUAAGCCGUUAACAGAAAUAAGUUGUCAACUAUUUUGAAACAAACAAUAUAAAUUACUUAAUAAAUAUGUUUGAGAAACUCACAUAAAGGUAGAAGUGGAAGCGUAUCAACAAGGACCCAAAUGCCAUCAUCAUGAUAACCAAGAUCGAAGGUGACAUACAUACCCUCCUGAAAAUCAUAUGCCUUGCACAGUGCUUCCGAAUUCGAGCAACCAAAAUGGGCUACGCUCUCCGAAUUGUAUAAGUUUACAGAAAAAAUCAUAACCAUGAUUGGUCUUGAGAUGAAUUAUUUCUGUCUCCAUAUUUUCAUGAUCUUCGAAAUCCAGAUGCUCCAAGACAUAGCUUUUUGCAUCGCAUGGGAUAAGCUAGUCGAAUUUUGAUCAUGUGUACGAAAAUUAUUUAUAUUUUUUUUAAAAUUAUUUGUGUAAAUAAAACAAAUAUUAAUCAUGUGUGCCUCCACGAGUGUGCAUCUUGUGGAGCAAAGAAAACGUUUUUUCUCCUUUGUCGCGGAAGCAAAUAUGUGCCUCUACGAGAAGCGAAUCUCGUGGAAGACAAAGGAACACAUCAUUUUUCCUUUUUCGAGAGGCACAACUGUGCCUCUCGCGAAAGCAAACAUAUGCCUCCAUGAGAAGCAAAUUCGUGCUUCUUGAGGAAGCAAAAGAAAAUGUGUUUUCCUGUUUUUGAGAGGCACAACUCUGACUCUUGCUGAAGAAAAACUGUGCAUCCAUGAGAAGCAAAUCUAUGCUUCUCGUGGAAGCAAAAAAACUCAUAUUUUCUCCUUUUUAGAGAAGCACUGUUCUGCCUCCCAUGGAAGCAAUUUGUGCCUCCAUUGAGAAAAACUGUGCUUCUUUUCACGCAAUAGUUUUUUUUCAAUUUUUCUCUCUCCAAAACCUAGGGCUAGCCAGGCGAAUACCAAAAACACGAAAAAACCAUCUAAAACUCAAAAAUGCGUACAUGGAAAAAAUUUCUAAGGGAGUGCCUGAUGUCUACUACACAACGUUUCUUCUUAUAGACUCUGUUGGGACUUCGAGUGCACAGUUUUGUAUGACAUCCGCACAUUUUCCUCAGGUGGAUGACCUAAUAUUUAUCAAUUUGUGGGAGGUGUAGGAUCAAGAUGAUUUCUCUCAAACAAACCUGGAAUCAAAUACAAGAAAUCUCUUGGCCCCAACACACCCAAUACAAUGGUAAAUUAUAUAGGUGCACUAAUUUGGCGAAGAGAUGGCGAUACAAGUGUAGUAUGGAUAGUAGCUAUAGGCUUUUGUAAUCUGAAAUAAUAAAAACAAUAAGGUAGCAAGUAACAAAAGCGUGCACAAACGGUAUUGCAAUGCUUAGAAACAAGGCCUAGGGUUCAUAAUUUCAUUAGUGCGAUCUCUCAAUAGUGCUAACAUAAUUGAAUCCCAUAAUACUCCCUCAACGUAUGACAAUAUAUUUUUAUGUGAAAGCUCUCUUCCCUAUACUAAUCAUUCAUGAAUUGCUUGUAUGACCAAUAUUAUUAUUGGCAAACUUUAAUAGAUUUUACUUUAUAAACCCAAUAUAAAAUAUUCCUAAGCAUAUGGAACAUAUAUAAUUUGGGGCUUAUGAUAUUCAAUUCAUUCAACAAUUUACUCUUAGGAUAUAAGUGAAGCACAAGAGUGAAUGACAAACUACUCCAAAAGAUUUGAGUGAAGAUCAAUGAGUAGUCAAACAAUUAAUUAGCUAUGAGUAGUCAAAAUUUUAGAACCAAGUAUUUUAUUCAAACAACAAACAAAAUGAAAAGACGCUCCGAGCAGAAUACAUAUCAUGUGAUGAAUAAAAAUAUAGUUCUAAGUGGGGUUACCCAUAAUGUUGAAGACAAAAAGAGGGGAUGCCUUCCGGGGCAUCCUGAAGCUUACAUGCUUGAGUCUUCCUCGAAUAUUACCCAAGCUUAGGGUCUUGCUGCUUGUUAUUAUCCUCAUGUUAUAUCUCACCCAAAACUUGAAAACUUCAAUCACACAAAACUUAACGAAAGUUCGUGAGAUGCAUUAAUAUAAUAAAACAAAUCAUUCACUUGGGUGACGUCAAGACAAGAUUCAUACUUGUUUCCAUAGAAUGCCUAGUGUACUCUAUAAUUUAUAUUGACCAAUAUAAGCCAUAGAAAGUAUAAAACAAGCAAACUAUACAUUGAAAAUAGAACCAGUCAAAAACAGAACAGUCUCUAAUGAUAUGAACAAAAACCAUACUUCUGAAACACUAAAAAUUCUUACAAAAUAGGAAAAUGUAGGAAAUUUGUAUAUUAACACUGUUUAAAAAAUUCAGAUAAAAAGCAUGUUCCAGUGAAUUAUAUAAAUUCCUAGACUUAGCACAAAAGUUUCUGUUUUGCAUAGAAUCAAGUCAACUAUCAUCCGCACUAUCCCAAAGGCUUUACUAGGCACUUUAUUGAAACAAUAGCUAUAAACAUAACUACUACACUAGCUUAAUCAUGUGAACACAGAUAAAAAGUAGGUAGAAAUGUUGGGUUGCCUCCCAACAAGCGCUUUUGUUUAAUGCUUUUUUAGCUAGGCAUGAUGAUUUCAAUGACGCUCUCAUAAAAGUAAAGAACCGAAACAUAACGGGAGCAUCAUGAAGCAUAUGACUAGCACAUUUAAGCCUAACCCACUUUGUAUGCAUAGGGAUUUUGGGAGUAAAAACAAAUUAUGGGAGGAAGAAUCAACUAGCAUAGGAAGGCAAAACAAGUAUGCCUUCAAAACUUUGAACACAUAGAGAGGAAACUUGAUAUUAUUUAGAUAUGUAAAAGCAAAUGUUUUCUCUCUCAUAAUAAUUUUUAGUAGCAUCAUGAACAAAUUCAACAAUAUAACUAUCAUACCAAGCAUUUUUUUUAUAAUCCAUAAGCAUAUAAAUUUUAUUACUCUCCACAUAAGCAAAUUUUUUCUCAUUCAUAAUAGUGGAACCAAACUCAACAAAAUGACUAUCAUAUGAAACAUGUUUGACAUAACCCUAUUGAACAUUAAAAUCAUGAUGACAAUUUUCAUGGUUGUUGUUACUUUUUAUAGCAUACAUGUCAUCACCGUAAUCAUCAUAGAUAGUAACUUUGUUUCAUAAUCAAUUGAAAUCUCUUCCAAAAUAGUGGAAUCAUCAUUAAAUAAAGUCACGACCUCUCCAAAUCCACUUUUAGCAUUAUUCCUUGAACACCCUCCAAAAUAGUUGGAUCAUUACUACCUAGAGUUGACACUCUUACAAACCCACCUUCAUCAUUGUAAUCAUCCUAAAUAGGAGGCAUGCAAUCAUCAUAAUAAAUUUUCUCAUCAAAAAAGGGGGCUAAAAAGGUCAUCUUCAUCAAACAUAGCAUCCCCAACCUUAUGGCUUUGCAUAUCAUUAGCAUCAUGGGUAUUAAAAGAAUACAUACUAAUAUAAUUGCAACCAUGCUUAUCAUCCAAAUAUUUUAUGCCAAACAUUUUUGAAUUCUUCUUCUAACAUUUUGGCACAAUUUUCGGAACCAUCUUUUUCAAGAAAGACAUCAUAAAGAUAAAAAACUUGAUGCAACUUCAAUUCCAUUUUUUGUAGUUUUCUUUUAUAAACCAAACUAGUGAAAAUCGAGAAACUAAAAGAUUCGAUUGGAAGAUCUAAAGAUAUAACUUCAAGCACUCACCUCCGCGGCAACAUCGCCCAAAAAGAACUUGAUGUCUACUACACAACUUUUCUUCUUGUAGACUCUGUUGGGCCUCCAAGCACAGAGUUCUGUAGGACAAAAGAAAAUUUUCCUCAAGUAGAUAACCUAAGGUUUAUCAAUCCGAGGAAGGUGUAGGACGAAGAUUGUCUCUCUCAAACAACCCUUCAAUCAAAUACAAGAAAUCUCUUACGUCCCCAACACACCCAAUACAAUGGUAAAUUGUAUAGGUGGACUAGUUUGGCAAAGAGAUGGUGAUACAAGUGAAGUACGGAUAGUAAAUAUAGGUUUUCGUAAUCUGGAAUAAUAAAAACAGCAAGGUAGCAAGUAACAAAAGUGAGCACAAACGGUAUUGCAAUGCUUAGAAACAAGGCCUAGGUUUCAUGUAUACCUUCACUGGUGCAAUCUCUCAACAGUGCUAACAUAAUUGAAUCACAUAACAAUCCCUCAACGUACUACAAAUAAUCACUCCAAAGUUCUUAAAGAUAGCAGAGAACAUAAGAUGAAAUUGUUGUAGGUAGCAAACCACCUCAAAUUUAUCUUUCGGAUCAAUCAAUUGAGCCAUCCCUAUAAGUGUCACAAAUAGCCCUAGAGUUCGUACUAAAAUAACAGCAAGUGAUAUGUAUCCAUCAACUCUAAUGUCACCUAGAUACUCCAGUGUCACCACAAGUAUCCAAUGUCCCUAGAUACAUCAAGAUCGUGCCAAAUAAAGAACACGAGAGAGAGAGAGAGAUGAUACGUCUCCGUCGUAUCUACUUUUCCAAACACUUUUGCCCUUGUUUUGGACUCUAAGUUGCAUGAUUUGAAUGGAACUAACCUGGACUGACAUUGUUUUCAGCAGAAUUGCCAUGGUGUUAUUUAUGUGGAGAAACAAAAGUUCUCGGAAUGACCUGAAACUCCACGGAACUUAUUUCUGGAAAAUAUUAAAAAUAUUGGCGAAAGAAUCAAGGCCAGGGGCCCACCACCUGUCCACGAGGGUGGGGGGCGCGCCCGCCCCCCUGGGCGCGCCCCCCUGCCUAAUGGGUGUUUGGGUAUCGUAGCAUAAUUUUAAAAUUUUCCUAUGCUCACCAAGAUGCAUCUAUGGAGUAUACUAGCAACGAGGGGAAGGGAGUGCAUCUACAUACCCUUGUAGAUCGCGAGCGGAAGCGUUCCAAUGAACGUGGAUGACGGAGUCGUACUCACCGUGAUCCAAAUCACCGAUGACCGAGUGCCGAACGGACGCCACCUCCGCGUUCAACACACGUACGGUGCAGCGACGUCUCCUCCUUCUUGAUCCAGCAAGGGGGAAGGAGAGGUUGAUGGAGAUCCAACAGCACGACGGCGUGGUGGUGGAUGUAGCGGGUCUCCGGCAGGGCUUCGCCGAGCUUCUGCGAGAGAAAGAGAGGUGUUGCAGGGGAGGAGGGAGGCGCCCAAGGCUGUAGGUUGCUGCCCUCCCUCCCCCCCUUUAUAUAGGCCCCCUGGGGGGCGCUGGCCCUAGAGAUGGGAUCUCAUGGGGGGGGCGGCCAAAAGGGGGGGAAGGGGUUGCCUUGCCCCCCAAGGCAAGGGGGAAGCCCCCCACCCUAGGGUUCCCAACCCUAGGCGCAUGGGGGGAGGCCCAAGGGGGGCGCCCCAGCCCACUAAGGGCUGGUUCCCUUCCACUUUCAGCCCACGGGGCCCUCCGGGAUAGGUGGCCCCACCCGGUGGACCCUCAGAACCCUUCCGGUGGUCCCGGUACAAUACCGGUAACCCCCGAAACUUUCCCGGUGGCCGAAACUUGACUUCCUAUAUAUAAUUCUUCACCUCCGGACCAUUCCGGAACCUCUCGUGACGUCCGGGAUCUCAUCCGGGACUCCGAACAAAUUUCGGGUUUCCGCAUACACAUAUCUCUACAACCCUAGCGUCACUGAACCUUAAGUGUGUAGACCCUACGGGUUUGGGAGACAUGCAGACAUGACCGAGACGCCUCUCCGUUCAAUAACCAACAGCGGGAUCUGGAUACCCAUGUUGGCUCCCACAUGUUCCACGAUGAUCUCAUCAGAUGAGCCACGGUGUCCAGGAUUCAAUCAAUCCCGUAUUCAAUUCCCUUUGUCAAUCGGUAUGUUACUUGCCCGAGAUUCGAUCGUCGGUAUCCCAAUACCUUGUUCAAUCUCGUUACCAGCAAGUCUCUUCACUCGUACCGCAAUGCAUGAUCCUGUAACUAACGCCUUAGUCACAUAGAGCUCAUUAUGAUGAUGCAUUACCGAGUGGGCCCAGAGAUACCUCUCCGUCACAUGGAGUGACAAAUCCCAGUCUCGAUCCGUGCCAACCCAACAGACACUUUCGGAGAUACCCGUAGUGCACCUUUAUAGUCACCCAGUUACGUUGUGACGUUUGGCACACCCAAAGCACUCCUACGGUAUCCGGGAGUUGCACAGUCUCAUGGUCUAAGGAAAAGAUACUUGACAUUGGAAAAGCUCUAGCAAACGAAACUACACGAUCUUUUAUGCUAUGCUUAUGAUUGGGUCUUGUCCAUCACAUCAUUCUCCAAAUGAUGUGAUCCCGUUAUCAAUGACAUCCAAUGUCCAUAGUCAGGAAACCAUGACUAUCUGUUGAUCAACGAGCUAGUCAACUAGAGGCUUACUAGGGACACGUUGUGGUCUAUGCAUUCACACAUGUAUUACGAUUUCCGGACAAUACAAUUAUAGCAUGAACAAUAGACAAUUAUCAUGAACGAAGAAAUAUAAUAAUAACCAUUUAUUAUUGCCUCUAGGGAAUAUUUCCAACAGUCUCCCACUUGCACUAGAGUCAAUAAUCUAGUUACAUUGUGAUGAAUCGACCCUAGGGAGAGGUUUAGUCAACGGAUCUGCUACAUUCAGGUCCGUAUGUACUUUACAAAUAUCUAUGUCUCCAUUUUGAACACUUUCACGAAUGGAGUUGAAGCGACGUUUGAUAUGCCUGGUCUUCCUGUGAAACCUGGGCUCCUUCGCAAGGGCAAUAGCUCCAGUGUUGUCACAGAAGAGAGUCAUCGGGCCCGACGCAUUGGGAAUCACCCCUAGGUCGGUAAUGAACUCCUUCAUCCAGACUGCUUCCUGUGCUGCCUCCGAGGCUGCCAUGUACUCCGCUUCACAUGUAGAUCCCGCCACGACGCUUUGCUUGCAACUGCACCAGCUUACUGCUCCUCCAUUCAAAAUAUACACGUAUCCGGUUUGUGACUUCGAGUCAUCCAGAUCUGUGUCAAAGCUAGCAUCGACGUAACCCUUUACGACGAGCUCUUCGUCACCUCCAUAAAUGAGAAACAUAUCCUUAGUCCUCUUCAGGUACUUCAGGAUAUUCUUGACCGCUGUCCAGUGUUCCAUGCCGGGAUUACUUUGGUACCUUCCUACCAAACUUACGGCAAGGUUUACAUCAGGUCUAGUACAGAGCAUGGCAUAAAUAAUAGACCCUAUGGCCGAGGCAUAGGGGAUGACACUCAUCUUUUCUAUAUCUUCUGCCGUGGUCGGGCAUUGAGCCGUGCUCAACUGCACACCUUGCAACACAGGCAAGAACCCCUUCUUGGACUGAUCCAUACUGAACCUCUUCAAUAUCUUGUCAAGGUAUGUACUCUGUGAAAGACCAAUGAGGCGUCUUUAUCUAUCUCUAUAGAUCUUGAUGCCUAAUAUAUAAGCAGCUUCUCCAAGGUCCUUCAUUGAAAAACACUUAUUCAAAUAGGCCUUUAUACUUUCCAAGAAUUCUAUAUCAUUUCCCAUCAAUAGUAUGUCAUCCACAUAUAAUAUGAGAAAUGCUACAGAGCUCCCACUCACUUUCUUGUAAACACAGGCUUCUCCAUAAGUCUGUGUAAACCCAAACGCUUUGAUCAUCUCAUCAAAGCGAAUGUUCCAACUCCGAGAUGCUUGCACCAGCCCAUAGAUUGAGCGCUGGAGCUUGCAUACUUUGUUAGCAUUCUUAGGAUCGACAAAACCUUCCGGCUGCAUCAUAUACAACUCUUCCUUAAGGAAGCCAUUAAGGAAUGCCGUUUUGACGUCCAUCUGCCAUAUCUCAUAAUCACAGCAUGCGGCAAUUGCUAACAUGAUUCGGACGGACUUCAGCUUCGCUACGGGUGAGGAAGUCUCAUCGUAGUCAACCCCUUGAACUUGUCGAUAACCCUUAGCGACAAGUCGAGCUUUGUAGAUGUUCACAUUACCAUCUGCGUCCGUCUUCUUCUUAAAGAUCCAUUUGUUUUCUAUGGCUCGCGGCUCAUCGGGCAAGUCAGUCAAAGUCCAUACUUUGUUUUCAUACAUGGAUUCUUUCUCGGAUUUCAUGGCUUCUAGCCAUUUGUCGGAAUCCGGGCCCGCCAUCGCUUCUUCAUAGUUCGAAGGUUCACCGUUGUCUAACAACAUGAUUUCCAGGACAGGGUUGCCGUACCACUCUGGUGCGGAACGUGUCCUUGUGGACCUAUGAAGUUCAGUAACUUGAUCCGAAGCUUCAUGAUCAUCAUCAUUAACUUCCUCCCCAGUCGGUGUAGGCACCACAGGAACAUUUUCCCGCGCUGCGCUACUUUCCGGUUCGGAAGGGGUGACUAUCACCUCAUCAAGUUCCACUUUCCUCCCACUCAAUUCUUUCGAGAGAAACUCCUUCUCCAGAAAGGACCCGUUCUUGGCAACGAAGAUCUUGCCUUCGGAUCUGAGGUGGAAGGUAUACCCAAUAGUUUCCUUAGGGUAUCCUAUGAAGACGCAUUUUUCCGACUUGGGUUCGAGCUUUUCAGGUUGAAGUUUCUUCACAUAAGCAUCACAUCCCCAAACUUUUAGAAACGACAGCUUAGGUUUCUUCCCAAACCAUAAUUCAUACGGUGUCGUCUCAACGGAUUUUGACGGAGCCCUAUUUAAAGUGAAUGCGGCAGUCUCUAAAGCAUAGCCCCAAAAUGAGAGCGGUAAAUUGGUAAGAGACAUCAUAGAUCGCACCAUAUCCAAUAGAGUGCGAUUACGACGUUCGGACACACCAUUUCUCUGAGGUGUUCCAGGCGGCGUGAGUUGUGAAACUAUUCCACAUUUCCUUAAGUGUGCACCAAACUCGUGACUUAAAUAUUCUCCACCAUGAUCUGAUCGUAAGAAUUUUAUUCUCCUGUCACGUUGAUUCUCAACCUCACUCUGAAAUUCCUUGAACUUUUCAAAGGUUUCCGACUUGUGUUUCAUUAGGUAGAUAUACCCAUAUCUACUUAAAUCAUCAGUGAGAGUGAGAACAUAACGAUAUCCUCCGCGAGCCUCAACACUCAUUGGACCACACACAUCGGUAUGUAUGAUUUCCAAUAAGUUGGUUGCUCGCUCCAUUGUUCCGGAGAACGGAGUCUUGGUCAUCUUACCCAUGAGGCAUGGUUCGCACGUGUCAAAUGAUUCGUAAUCAAGAGACUCCAAAAGUCCAUCUGCAUGGAGCUUCUUCAUGCGCUUGACACCAAUGUGACCAAGGCGGUAGUGCCACAAGUAUGUGGGACUAUCGUUAUCAACUUUACAUCUUUUGGUAUUCACACUAUGAACAUGUGUAACAUCACGUUCGAGAUUCAUCAAAAAUAAACCAUUGACCAGCGGGGCAUGACCAUAAAACAUAUCUCUCAAAUAAAUAGAACAACCAUUAUUCUCGGAUUUAAAUGAGUAGCCAUCUCGAAUUAAACGAGAUCCUGAUACAAUGUUCAUGCUCAAAGCUGGCACUAAAUAACAAUUAUUGAGGUUUAAAACUAAUCCCGUGGGUAGAUGCAGAGGUAGCGUGCCGACGGCGAUCACAUCGACCUUGGAACCAUUCCCGACGCGCAUCGUCACCUCGUCCUUCGCCAGUCUCCGUUUAUUCCGUAGUUCCUGUUUUGAGUUACAAAUAUGAGCAACCGCACCGGUAUCAAAUACCCAGGAGCUACUACGAGUACUGGUAAGGUACACAUCAAUAACUUGUAUAUCACAUAUACCUUUGGUGUUGCCGGCCUUCUUCUUGUCCGCUAAGUAUUUGGGGCAGUUCCGCUUCCAGUGACCACUUCCCUUGCAAUAAAAGCACUCAGUCUCGGGCUUGGGUCCAUUCUUUGACUUCUUCCCAGUAACUGGUUUACCGGGCGCGGCAACUCCCUUGCCGUCCUUCUUGAAGUUCUUCUUACCCUUGCUCUUCUUGAACUUAGUGGUUUUAUUCACCAUCAACACUUGAUGUUCUUUUCUGAUCUCUACCUCAGCUGAUUUCAGCAUUGAAUAUACCUCAGGAAUGGUCUUUUCCAUCCCCUGCAUAUUGUAGUUCAUCACAAAGCUCUUGAAGCUUGGUGGAAGCGACUGAAGGAUUCUGUCAAUGACCGCGUCAUCCGGGAGAUUGACUCCCAGCUGAGACAAGCGGUUAUGCAACCCAGACAUUCUGAGUAUGUGCUCACUAACAGAACUGUUCUCCUCCAUUUUACAGCUGAAGAAUUUGUCGAAGACAUCAUAUCUCUCGACCCGGGCAUGAGCUUGGAAAACCAAUUUCAGCUCCUCGAACAUCUCAUAUGCUCCAUGUUUCUCAAAACGCUUUUGGAGACCCGGUUCUAGGCUGUAAAGCAUGCCGCACUGAACGAGGGAGUAAUCAUCAGCACGCUGCUGCCAAGCGUUCAUAACGUCUUGGUUCUCAGGGAUUGGUGCAUCACCUAGCGGUACUUCUAAGACAUAAUCUUUCUUGGCUACUAUGAGGAUGAGCCUCAGGUUCCGGACCCAGUCCGUAUAGUUGCUGCCAUCAUCUUUCAGCUUGGUUUUCUCUAGGAACGCGUUGAAAUUGAGGACAACGUUGGCCAUUUGAUCUACAAGACAUAGUGUAAAGAUUUUAGACUAAGUUCAUGAUAAUUGAGUUCAUCUAAUCAAAUUAUUUAAUGAACUCCCACUCAGAUAGACAUCCCUCUCGUCAUCUAAGUGAAACAUGAUCCGAGUUUAACUAGGCCGUGUCCGAUCAUCACGUGAGACGGACUAGUCAAGAUCGGUGAACAUCUCCAUGUUGAUCGUAUCUUCUAUACGACUCAUGCUCGACCUUUCGGUCCUCCGUGUUCCGAGGCCAUGUCUGUACAUGCUAGGCUCGUCAAGACAACCUAAGUGUAUUGCGUGUGUUCCGAGGCCAUGCCUGUACAUGCUAGGCUCGUCAACACCCGUUGUAUUCGAACGUUAGAAUCUAUCACACCCGAUCAUCACGUGGUGCUUCGAAACAACGAACCUUCGCAACGGUGCACAGUUAGGGUGAACACUUUCUUGAAAUUAUUAUAAGGGAUCAUCUUACUUACUACCGUCGUUCUAAGCAAAUAAGAUGCAAAAACAUGAUAAACAUCACAUGCAAUCAAAUAGUGACAUGAUAUGGCCAAUAUCAUUAUGCUCCUUUGAUCUCCAUCUUCGGGGCACCAUGAUCAUCUUCGUCACCGGCAUGACACCAUGAUCUCCAUCAUCAUGAUCUCCAUCAUUGUGUCUUCAUGAAGUCGUCACGCCAACGAUUACUUCUACUUCUAUGGCUAACGCGUUUAGCAACAAAGUAAAGUAAUUUACAUGGCGUUAUUCAAUGACACGCAGGUCAUGCAAAAUAAUAAAGACAACUCCUAUGGCUCCUGCCGGUUGUCAUACUCAUCGACAUGCAAGUCGUGAUCCCUAUUACAAGAAUAUGAUCAAUCUCAUACAUCACAUAUAUCAUUCAUCACAUCUUCUGGCCAUAUCACAUCACAUAGCACUUGCUGCAAAAACAAGUUAGACGUCCUCUAAUUGUUGUUGCAAGUUUUUACGUGGUUCGUAGGUUUCUAGCAAGAACGUUUUCUUACCUACAUAUGACCACAACGUGAUUUGCCAAUUUCUAUUUACCCUUCAUAAGGACCCUUUUCAUCGAAUCCGUUCCGACUAAAGUAGGAGAGACAGACACCCGCUAGCCACCUUAUGCAACUAGUGCAUGUCAAUCGGUGGAACCUGUCUCACGUAAGCGUACGUGUAAGGUCGGUCCGGGCCGCUUCAUCCUACAAUGCCGCCCAAACAAGAAAUGACUAGUAGCGGCAAGAAGAAUUGGCAAACUCAACGCCCACAACUGCUUUGUGUUCUACUCGUGCAUAGUAACUACGCAUAGGCCUGGCUCUGAUACCACUGUUUGGGAAUCGUAGCAUAAUUUUAAAAUUUUCCUACACUCACCAAGAUGCAUCUAUGGAGUAUACUAGCAACGAGGGGAAGGGAGUGCAUCUACAUACCCUUGUAGAUCGCGAGCGGAAGCGUUCCAAUGAACAUGGAUGACGGAGUCGUACUCGCCGUGAUCCAAAUCACCGAUGACCGAGUGCCGAACGGACAGCACCUCCGCGUUCAACACACGUACGGUGCAGCGACGUCUCCUCCUUCUUGAUCCAGCAAGGGGGAAGGAGAGGUUGAUGGAGAUCCAACAACACGACGGCGUGGUGGUGGAUGUAGCGGGUCUCCGGCAGGGCUUCGUCGAGCUUCUGCGAGAGAGAGAGAGGUGUUGCAGGGGAGGAGGGAGGCGCCCAAGGCUGUAGGUUGCUGCCCUCCCUCCCCCCUUUAUAUAGGCCCCCUGGGGGGGGCACCGGCCCUAGAGAUGGGAUCUCAUGGGGGGGCGGCGGCCAAAAGGGGGGGAAGGGGUUGCCUUGCCCCCCAAGGCAAGGGGGAAGCCCCCCACCCUAGGGUUCCCAACCCUAGGCGCAUGGGGGGAGGCCCAAGGGGGGCGCCCCAGCCCACUAAGGGCUGGUUCCCUUCCACUUUCAGCCCACGGGGCCCUCCGGGAUAGGUGGCCCCACCCGGUGGACCCCCGGGACCCUUCCGGUGGUCCCGGUACAAUACCGGUAACCCCCGAAACUUUCCCGGUGGCCGAAACUUGACUUCCUAUAUAUAAUUCUUCACCUCCGGACCAUUCCGGAACCUCUCAUGACGUCCGGGAUCUCAUCCGGGACUCCGAACAACUUUCGGGUUUCCGCAUACACAUAUCUCUACAACCCAUGCGUCAUCGAACCUUAAGUGUGUAGACCCUACGGGUUCGGGAGACAUGCAGACAUGACCGAGACUUCUCUCCGGUCAAUAACCAAUAGCGGGAUCUGGAUAGCCAUGUUGGCUCCCACAUGUUCCACGAUGAUCUCUUCGGAUGAACCACGGUGUCGAGGAUUCAAUCAAUCCCGUAUACAAUUCCCUUUGUCAAUCGGUAUGUUACUUGCCCGAGAUUCGAUCGUCGGUAUCCCAAUACCUUGUUCAAUCUCGUUACCGGCAAGUCUCUUUACUCAUACCGCAAUGCAUGAUCCCAUAACUAACGCCUUAGUCACAUAGAGCUCAUUAUGAUGAUGCAUUACCGAGUGGGCCCAGAGAUACCUCUCCGUCACACGGAGUGACAAAUCCCAGUCUCGAUCCGUGCCAACCCAACAGACACUUUCGGAGAUACCCGUAGUGCACCUUUAUAGUCACCCAGUUACGUUGUGACGUUUGGCACACCCAAAGCACUCCUACGGUAUCCGGGAGUUGCACGAUCUCAUGGUCUAAGGAAAAGAUACUUGACAUUGGAAAAGCUCUAGCAAACGAAACGACACGAUCUUUUAUGCUAUGCUUAUGAUUGGGUCUUGUCCAUCACAUCAUUCUCCUAAUGAUGUGAUCCCCUUAUCAAUGACAUCCAAUGUCCAUAGUCAGGAAACCAUGACUAUCUGUUGAUCAACGAGCUAGUCAACUAGAGGCUUACUAGGGACACGUUGUGGUCUAUGCAUUCACACAUGUAUUACGAUUUCCGGACAAUACAAUUAUAGCAUGAACAAUAGACAAUUAUCAUGAACGAAGAAAUAUAAUAAUAACCAUUUAUUAUUGCCUCUAGGGCAUAUUUUCAACAAUGGGCCCCCUGGAGCUCCACCGACCUCAACUCCAACUCCAUAUAUUCGUGUUCGGGGAGAAAAAAAAUCAGGGAGAAGGAUUCAUCGCAUUUUACGAUAGGGAGCCGCCACCAAGCCCUAAAACCUCUCGGGAGGGCUGAUCUGGAGUCCGUUCGGGGCUCCGGAGAGGGGAAACCGUCGCCAUCGUCAUCAUCAACUAUCCUCCAUCACCAAUUUCAUGACGCUCACCGCCGUGCGUGAGUAAUUCCAUCGUACGCUUGCUGGAUGGUGAUGGGUUGGAUGAGAGUUAUCAUGUAAUCGAAUUAGUUUUGUUAGGGUUUGAUCCCUAGUAUCCACUAUGUUCUGAGAUUGAUGUUGCUAUGACUUUACUAUGCUUAAUGCUUGUCACUAGGGCCCGAGUGCCAUGAUUUUAGAUCUGAACCUAUUAUGUUUUCAUGAAUAUAUGUGAGUUCUUGAUCCUAUCUUGCAAGUCUAUAGUCACCUACUAUGUGUUAUGAUCCGGCAACCCCGAAGUGACAAUAAUCGGGACCACUCCCGGUGAUGACCAUAGUUUGAGGAGUUCAUGUAUUCACUAUGUGUUAAUGCUUUGGUCUGGUACUCUAUUAAAAGGAGGCCUUAAUAUCCCUUAGUUUCCAUUAGGACCCCGCUGCCACGGGAGGGUAGGACAAAAGAUGUAAUGCAAGUUCUUUUUCAUAAGCACGUAUGACUAUAUUUGGAAUACAUGCCAACAUUACAUUGAUGAAUUGGAGCUAGUUCUAUGUCACCCUAUAUUAUGACUGUUACAUGAUGAACCGCAUCCGGCAUAAUUUUCCAUCACCAAUCCAAUGCCUACGAGCUUUUCACAUAUUGUUCUUCGCUUAUUUACUUUUCCGUUACUACUAUUACAUUCACUACAAAACCCAGAAAUAUUACUUUUGCUACCGUUACCGUUACUUCCAUACUACUUUGCUACUAAACACUUUGCUGCAGUACUAAGUUAUCCAGGUGUGGUUGAAUUGACAACUCAACUCCUAAUACUUGAGAAUAUUCUUUGGCUCCCCUUGUGUCGAAUCAAUAAAUUUGGGUUGAAUACUCUACCCUCGAAAACUGUUGUGAUCCCCUAUACUUGUGGGUUAUCAAGAGAGAGAUCAAACACAUAGCUACUGGUGCAUACCCCUCAUGCCCGAUAGAAAAUUAGGUUGUAUGAAUCAUUUGUAGAUUAUUCAUUAACGACCUUGGACCAUACAAACUGGCCAAAUUUCGUCGCUAUAUAAUUUGUUAUAUGUUGUUGUUAAAAAUCAAUAAUAAAAUUGUAUAUAUUGAACUGACUUAGGAUCUUUUUGUAUAAUUUAUGUCACUAUGCAUGCUGGCAAGAAACCUACAAAUAUUAUAAAGUUGGCUAAUAUAAGUAAAGUCUCACAUAUAUAGAAAAAUAAAUCACUCUUAGUUCUUUUUGGGAUUAUUAUAUGUUGUACUAUUAUUGUAUGAACAAAUAAAGGACAAAAAAUAGAUUGUUUAGUUGUAUUAAUUAUUAAAAACUCGAAAGCAUGGAAGAUUGCUCCCUUUGAUCACUUGGGGUUUAGCUAUAGCUACCUCAUCCUAACCCAUGCCGUGUCUAGAUCAUUGUACCAACUUGUGCUUUUUAGAACAUUUUUAUGCAAAAUGGAAGUGCUGCUUUUCCAGAACAUUUUGAUAUCUUAUUUACAUUUUUCUGAAUUCAUAUGAAUUUGCAAUGAAUUUUCAAAGUGAUGUUCAAAUGCUCAAAGGGCAUUCGGGAGACCUAAAAUUCUUUUUAGAGGCAAAACUGAGCAGAGUCGAAAACUAGGGGCAAAACUAAAGGAUUGGAACCAACUAAGGGAAAUAAAGGAAUUGUCCCGCCAAUGGUUUUCUAAGUCUCGAUCUGGUCGGAGAUUAAACCAAGAUCGAGUAUCCAUAUUUAAGUGGCCUUAUUGACAUGGAUUUUUUUUGCUUGCAGCUUUAUUAUCCAUUCUCACAUGCUUGUCUCAAAAUUACGAAACCUUAAACAAAUAUAUCAAAGUUAUUAAUUAUGUAAGUAGUGUAACUUUAUCAGGUGUAGGGAAAAAUUAGUUCCUAAUCAGAGCUCAUAGAUUAAGCAAAAAAUUUGUAUGCCAUGCUAAUACGAUAAUUCAAAUGAUGCACGAAAAAAUACACGCAUGGAUAUUAGUUUAAAUAAAUACAAACGUGCUAUUUCCAUGCAAUAAAUACAUGCUACUACAAAUGCAUCGUGAGACCGUGGGCCAUGAUUUUCUUUACAAGGACAAAGACAAUAUGGAUUUGACAAUCAUAUGGAUCUGCAAUCACAAAUUAGUUAUGAUGCAGGCUCAAGUAUAAUAAAAAUACUCAUUGUGAACAAUGAAAAAAACAAAAAGAUAAUAUCCAAAACAUCUUAUAAUGAAAUGUACCUAAGGGUUAGAUGACAACUCACUCUUAUGAGACGUUGUGUUUGGAGAUCAAUCAUACACUAUACCAACACAAUUGCAUGUUUAGUGAUUAGCCAGUAGAAAGGUAAGUUUGUAGAACUAUAUACAUAACCUAUAUGUCCAUUUAUAGUAUUAGCCAACAGAAAGAAGUCAUGAAUUUCCCUUUAUAUUCUUUAGUGAUAUGUACAUGACAAUAACUGUCUCACAUGAAAACCAUAGGGCCAUACAAUGCAUCCUUGUUUGACUACGAUGGUAACGGAUAAUAGAUACUACAAUUAUUGCGAAAGUUUUGUAUAUCCCAUAACGGAAGAUCUGACACCUCAUAACAACCCAUCCAUCUCAUUCACGGGCCAGAUGACGUCACUGGUUGAUAUCGACGCCCCUAUGGCAAUUAUCGUUGCCUCAACAUGCAAGUGCCUUCUUCCAUGGUACGAUUUCAUUGUUAGAAUCUCUAACCUUGACGAGGCAUACAUUUUCGUAGUUGAACACCUCGUGCACUCUCCAAGCCAUGGUGAACAACCAACUAAAGGAGGUUGCAGCGGGUACUAUCAACAGAAAUUGAUGCAUAACAUUGUGUUGCCAACAUACCUAACUAGGGUGGAAGUGGGUAUGGUAUUUCCUAGUUGCAAAGAGGUGGACCAUAAUGAAAAACCUCAAGGCGCAGAUGACGAAACACACUAUACCCUCAUCGAGUGCCCGAGUUGGACCCUUAGGUGGCCUAAGUGACGAAUACAUUUGGGGACGCACUCCCCCAGCUAGCAAACACGCUCACCGCUGACACUUUAUACGAAUGUCCCUACACUGGGACCAUCUACUUUGGGUCCUCGCCGAGCUGAAGGUCCUUAGGACAUAGUGGUGGCUAAUGAUGAGCGCGCUGACAAAGAUGAGCCGCCACCCGACACAGUACGAGCAUGGGGAGGAGGAUGUUAAUAUGUAUUUUAACAAUGAAUAUGAUGAUGGCAUGACUUUUGCGGUUAACCAUAAUGUUGUUGAGAGUUUGCUUAAUAUGCCGCUAGUGGACGACACUCAGAAUGAUCAAUGUCCCUCAAAGCGAAUGUCAUGACUCCGAUCACAAUGAAUGGGUCAAUUUGAGACACUCUGGGAGCCCCCAGUUAUUGUUGUACCCAGAAGUGGGAGGAAGAAGAGACAUAAAAAUUUUGAUUACACAAGGCACGGGCAUUGCUGGCAGAGAGAAAUUGGUUUGAAAGUAGAUUGAGGAUCAUCCUUCUAUGUUCGAGGGGCUCAUUUUCCGGUGAACCCAUGGUACCCAGUAAUAUACACGAUCCAUGUUAUUCGACAUGAGGUUUCUUCAAGAUGACAUUCUCAACAAAGAGAGGGUGGACAAGGUCAUGUUUCUUAGCCAACCUAAAAAUCGCUCGAUUUACAUGGUGAAGGUUCCAUCCGGUGUCGGCUUCCUCGAAGAUUUGCCCGCAGACAAAUUCUAUAUUGAUUUCGGGUUACCAUGCCUUUUGUGUAGUAUCUACUUAAGUUUUAAAGAUGCAUGAUGAAAAUGACCUACUAUGUUUACUUGAUUAACCUUAGUAGUCAUUGACGUAUCGAAACAUGACAAUUCUGGCACGGCAACAACAUGAGAGCUUCUUCUCAUAAAUGCUACCAUGGCAGCAAAAAGAUUAACUAAAAAUGCAACCAUGCUAGCUUAUAUUAGCCCCAAGGCUGGAAAAUUCUACCAUGACAACUAAAUGAGCAAUUUGACUCAUAAAUGCUGCCAUGGUAGAGAAAUGAUCCUAUUUGACAAUAAUUGACCCCAUGGUAGCAAAUAUGAGGCCAAAGGCUCAAAAGUUUUUCCAUGAUAACUAAAAGAGCCAUUUAGCCUAGAAUCGUUGCGAUGGCAGGUAAAUGAGCCAUUUCGCUCAGACUUGCUACCAUGGAGUUAAAUGAGCCAUUUGGCUCCGACUUGCUGCCAUGUCAGCAAAAAAUGAAUGCAAAACUACCAUCACAACAAACAGCCCCAAGGUUAAAAAAUUCUGCCAGGCCUAGGUUUGCUAUGUGCUAAUCUUGCAAUUUGUUGCCAUGUGCUAUGUUUGGUAUCUAAAUUGCUAUAAAAGACGUUUUUGCUAUGUAUACAUGUUGAAAUAUAUUUGAUAUGAUGUAUGUUGCUAUUUGUUCUGUUCAUUACGACACGUCAAAGAUUCAUCGAUCAAAACUUCAACAGUUCUGAGGCGCCGCAGUGAAGCUAGACAACAAUGCGUGUGUUUUACAAAUUCAGCAUGUGAAAUGAAUGCAUGUAACUCAACGCUAUCAAUGUGUAUUAUGUAAAUUAAAGGUGUAUGCUGCAAUUUGGAUAUUUGAAUUUGUGUAAAAUGUGAUACAUAAAAUUAUCUAUUUAAUGCAUAACUUUUCUAUUGAUAUAUGAAUUAAAUGUGCAAACGCUACCACGGCAACAAAUACACCGUCGUGUCAUUUCUUUUCGCCCAAAACAAAGUACUAGUGGUGCGCGAAAAUACAAGCACAUCACCAAUACCCCAAAAUACUAGCGGUAUGCCAUUAGUAUUCUACAAUACUGUCAUGUGAAAGGCCCAGGCACGACACUGCAUGCAACUAGUAAGUUACUCGCUUGUCGCUAGUAAUCACUUACCAACGACACCAUACUAGUGGUGUGCUAGCCGAACACCGCUAGUAGGCACAUGCACAAGCUGCUAAUAAGGCGGCCAUGUAUGUUGGCGGUGGGAGCCACGAUGCUCAUGGGCGAAUCCAUCAACCCACCUCCAACGCCGAUACUCCACCGCGCCAUGCCGCUGAGACCCACCGUUUUUGAUGCAGUAGAUGCAACACCGCUCCACCUCUUGGCCCCUCCAGUCAGUACCUACUCCAAAAUAGUGCCCCCAGGAGAGAGAAUGACACAAGUCUUUGUCAUGAUCCGAUCAGGAAGACCCAGAUCUAGGGUUUCCCCCGGAGCAGAUGCCUCCUGGAGGAAGAAAGGCAUGCCAUCUGCAGGUUCCAACGAACCCAAAUGGUGCCCACCCACACAAUGAGUCAUUUUCUUGGAGUUGUGUUGUUGUUCUUCAGCAUCCUUGUAUAAUGCCUUGUGCGCGUGUGUUGCGGUAUUGUGUUGUAUUGUGUUGUAUGUGCUGAAUUGUAUUAUUUAUAUAUAAAAUGGAGUGGGAGUCUUUUUGAUAAACAAUAAGAUCAAUUGCCUCACUUGAAACUUGAAAGUGCAUUUUUUUAUUUUGACAACGGAAGUCAGGGCCAAUGCCGACCUCAUGCGCAGGAAAAGGGACAGGCACACGUACAUCCCAUCUGUGGCCAAGCUUUUUUGUUCUUUUGCACUAGUAGAAAAAGGCCCAUUAGUCCCUGUUCUAGAGGGCCUUUAGUCCCAGUUCUGGAACCGGGACUAAAUAAGGGUCGGUACUAAAGGCCCCCUCCCUUUAGUCCCGGUUCUUAUACGAACUGGAACUAAAGGCCCUCCACGUGGCCGCUGUCUGGAGCUCCACCUUUAGUCCCGGUUGGUAACACACCAACCGGGACUAAAGGAAAUUUUACGAAUUUAUUUUUUGAAUUUUUUAAAAAAAAUCCCAAUUUUCAAAUUUGUGUAUUAUUUUACAAUUUAAUCUCUAAUCACCCCUCAUCACUGCUCAAUUUAACAUCUAAUCUCUAAUCAGCCCUCGUCAUUCCAAAUCAUCUAACUUCCCGGCCGGUCACCCAUCCUUUCACAACUCCAGUCUGAGCACGCUUAACUUCCGAGUUCUAUUCCCCCUCUUUCCAAGUCUGCACUUGUUGUUUUUCUGACAAUAGUAAGAUGUCAAUCCUAUUAACCCUUAAGAGUUUAGCUUGAGCAUGAAGUCACACGUUUCAUUGUUUGAGUUUGAAACUAUUAUUUUAAAAACAGUAAUUAUUUAGUAACACUAAUACUGCUUGAAUAAGUAGUUUGACCAUUGUUUGACCAUAGUUUGACCAGAUUUGACCAAAAUUCAAAAAACCUGAAAUGAUUAUUUAGUAACACUAAUAUUCUUGAAUAAUUAUUUAGUAACACUAAUACAUCAUGAAUAAGUAGUUUGACCAUUGUUUGACCACAGUUUGGCCAGAUUUAACCAAAAUUCAAAAAAUGAAAUUUGAUCAUAUCUUUUUUUUCCUUUAAGAAUCUGAGGAUUCUAAAAAUUUGCAAAUAGGCCUACGGCGGUCAAAAUCGGAUGCGGAUUUUUGUGCUGAACAUUUUGAUAUAUUAUACUUUUUUCCGACAUCGUAUGCAAAAGUUAUAGCCGUUUUACUUUUUCCCAACACUUUUUGCAAAACAUAUCCAAAUUUAAGUUUUUAAAUUUUCCUAACUAGUAGAUGUAGUAAUAUAACUACAUCUCGAAGGAUUUUAUUGUUUUAAGUUUUUAUCAUUUUCUUCUGUUUUUUCCAAAACUGNNNNNNNNNNNNNNNNNNNNNNNNNNNNNNNNNNNNNNNNNNNNNNNNNNNNNNNNNNNNNNNNNNNNNNNNNNNNNNNNNNNNNNNNNNNNNNNNNNNNNNNNNNNNNNNNNNNNNNNNNNNNNNNNNNNNNNNNNNNNNNNNNNNNNNNNNNNNNNNNNNNNNNNNNNNNNNNNNNNNNNNNNNNNNNNNNNNNNNNNNNNNNNNNNNNNNNNNNNNNNNNNNNNNNNNNNNNNNNNNNNNNNNNNNNNNNNNNNNNNNNNNNNNNNNNNNNNNNNNNNNNNNNNNNNNNNNNNNNNNNNNNNNNNNNNNNNNNNNNNNNNNNNNNNNNNNNNNNNNNNNNNNNNNNNNNNNNNNNNNNNNNNNNNNNNNNNNNNNNNNNNNNNNNNNNNNNNNNNNNNNNNNNNNNNNNNNNNNNNNNNNNNNNNNNNNNNNNNNNNNNNNNNNNNNNNNNNNNNNNNNNNNNNNNNNNNNNNNNNNNNNNNNNNNNNNNNNNNNNNNNNNNNNNNNNNNNNNNNNNNNNNNNNNNNNNNGCGCCUCUGUCGCCAUGGCAUCCAGCAGUGGUCAUCCAUCACCGUACAUAGGUCACGCGUUUGUAGCAUAACCUGAGUCUCCGUAGUUUGUCCGGCUCAACAUAUCGGCCAUAGUGUUGAUCCCCAGAUUCGCGCACAACAUGUUGCAUGAUUGGUUCACGGAGGUUUACCUCCUUGCCAUUGGAGAUCGUUGCAUGUGGCGCACCUUUCUUCGGACAGUCCGACAUCUUCACAUGGCCAAGAGCACGUGGGAUACUAAUUGUUUGUCAGCGACAAAAGUGUACUCACGCAAUUAGCUGGACACAUCAGAGGUUUUACACACUAGCAAACACAAAGCACACAUGGAAUUUGAUGCCAUGAAAACGUGCUACAGAUUUUUAUUUGGAAUACAGAGAGAAAGAAGGGUCGUUGCACGACCGACCUAAACACACACCACGUUCCUAAUGACUCGUGCCAUCCCACGGAUCAGAUCGUGAGUGCAUGAUCUACGGCUCCACUAUUAUCACGUGUGAUCCGAUGUGCCAUGCCAUCGCAUGACUCGGUUCACGACGCGGUAGAAACGGGAGCGACCCCAACCUGAUACGUGGACUCGACGCAAACAUGCUUGCUGUCGAGACCAACUCUCAGCGCACACCGUGUGCUUGCAGGCAGCUCUAUGGCGCGUUAUUUGGAACAAACAGAUUGUAGGGAAAAAAAACCCUAGGGCAUGGAUCAGACCUCGAUCCACAAAAACCCACAUCGUGAAGUUGUCUUAGUGGAUCUCGUCAUUCUCCGAGUCAAUCUCGUCAUUCUCCGAGUCGGAUAAGUGGUUGUCCACCUGCACGUGCCUAGCCUGCCAUACCGUCAACCACAAACACCGCAUCCAGAUUCCGUUACAUUCAAUCAUCACCCAGGCGGAAAAAACUGAAAACCUUGGAAUUAAAAGUAGAUCGAGUUCAUACCCUCCUCAUCUGGGCACGGCGGUACUUGAACCAGAGUUUGAUAUGCUGGGGCUCCACAUGAAGCUAGCGACCGAGAUGAGCGCGCUGGGUCUCAUCAGGGCUGGAGCACUCCUUGAAAACACUGUACUUUUCAGAAAAAAGAAGAUGAAAAAACCUUGAAUACCGUGCACAUGGAUCACCAUGAAAAUAUGACACGAAAAAUAAGGUGUAGGAAUGGUGCUUGAUCAACCUCUCCAGGAUCUGAAUCUGGUUGUCAGUUAGAUCCAUUGUUACCAAUUUCUCGCUCACUCUCCCAGGCUGGCUAGAGGAAGAGGAAUUGGAGGCAGGAAGGUAUCUUCGUACUGGAUGCUGUGCGACCUCUGCCUUGCUCCUAUUUAUACACGAGAGUGUGGCGUUUCUCCUCUGUCACACUGCUGGCGCAAAGAAGCGCCAGUCUGUGUGACCUCUGGCUUAGUAGCAGGCUCCUAGACUGUCUCUCUUAAUGGCUCCUCCUUUUUGGCUUCUUCCACCCUAUAUUGCUGACCGUCCGUCCCUGUAUUGCUCAUGAUCUAAACACUCUUGUAUUACUUUGCAGAGGGAGUAACAAGCAGUGCUUUCAGAUUUAAACCAUGUAAUAUAUAGUUUCAUUUAGCAGAAUUUGCAAAGCACUUCAAAUCAAACAACUUCAGAGUUUAUGGACCUGCAUCGGUACGAGCCCUACUGGGUUUGGAUGCAACAAACAAAUGCAGAGUGACCUGAAAAUGGCCGGUGACCUGUCUUGAGUUCGUAAUUUCUCCCCUCCCACAAUUACCAUUGUUCCUCUUGUAGAAAGGGAGAUAAUUGAUCCUGAAGUUACGUCCAUGUAUUGGUUGUUAACCAUUAUAAUAAAUUCUGCAAUAUUUUAGCAUGAAAUUGACAGGUAGGCAUUAAUUUCCAGCCUCUUACUUAUGUAUGGAUAUCAAAUUAAUCAAUAGUACAGGUGGGCCAUUAUGCUCUAAAUCAUAAUAUUCAAAUUCUAAGUAAGAAAAGUAGCAUAACAGUACCUGCGAGCCAAGAGCACCAAUCGGCCUAGCAGACCCAUAGCGCAUACCGCAGACGCUCGCUCUAGGAUCCUGCGCUGCCAUCUACCGCCGUCCCAUAUUCAAGAGGGAUCCUUGCACUAACCUUGCCAGGCCCAACUGCCGUUGACACCGCCACGACACCAGACAAUGCCACCAGUCUGCGUGCAUCCAUCAACCCACCUCCAACGGCGAUACUCCACCACACCAUGCUGCCGAGACCCACCGUUUUUGAUGCAGUAGAUGCAACACCGCUCCACCUCUUGGCCCCUCCAAUCAGUACCUACUCCUAAAUAGUGCCCCCAGGAGAGAGAAUGACACAAGUCUCCAUUAUCAUCUGAUCUGGGAGACCCAGAUCAUGGGUUUCCACGGAGCAGAUGCCUCAUGGAGGAAGAAGGGCAAGCCAUCUGGAGUUGCCACCGAACCCAAACAGUGCCCACCCGCCUAACGAGCCAUUUUCUUGGAGUUGUGUUGUUGUUCUUCAACAUCUUUAUACAGUGCCUUGUGUGCGUGUGUUGCGGUAUGGUGUCGUGUUGUGUUGUCUGUGCUGAAUUGUCUGAUUUGUAUAUAAAGUGGAGUAGAAGUCUUAUUGAUAAACACUGAGAUCAAUUACCCAGUUGAAACUUGAAAGUGCAUUUUUUGAUUUUGACAGCGGAAGUCAGGGCCAAGGCCGACCUCAUGCGCAGGAAAAGGGGCAAGCACACGUACAUCCCACAUGUACCCAAGCUUUUUUCUUCUUUUGGUUGCUUGUUGUUUGCUUGCGCUUAAUCCUACGAGAUUAUCAAUUGAUUAAUAAAUUUGCUUGAAUAAUGCAUUAUCAUCUGAUUUCUUGCUUAGAUCGAUGUGCUCUCUAUUUUCAAACAGUUUUGGUCUGGGCCUAUUUUGCUCAAUUGGAUAAUUUAUGUGGACAAAUUUAUCGAAUCAAAAUAAAUCAGUUUAUUUUUCUUCUGUUUCCGUUUUUCUAGGAACCUAUUUGUUGGCGUUCGAUGGGACAUAUGUUUUCAGAAACCUAACCAAUUAAUUUACCAAAUGCUAACCUUUACUUAAUCAUGUCCCAACCAUUCCNNNNNNNNNNNNNNNNNNNNNNNNNNNNNNNNNNNNNNNNNNNNNNNNNNNNNNNNNNNNNNNNNNNNNNNNNNNNNNNNNNNNNNNNNNNNNNNNNNNNNNNNNNNNNNNNNNNNNNNNNNNNNNNNNNNNNNNNNNNNNNNNNNNNNNNNNNNNNNNNNNNNNNNNNNNNNNNNNNNNNNNNNNNNNNNNNNNNNNNNNNNNNNNNNNNNNNNNNNNNNNNNNNNNNNNNNNNNNNNNNNNNNNNNNNNNNNNNNNNNNNNNNNNNNNNNNNNNNNNNNNNNNNNNNNNNNNNNNNNNNNNNNNNNNNNNNNNNNNNNNNNNNNNNNNNNNNNNNNNNNNNNNNNNNNNNNNNNNNNNNNNNNNNNNNNNNNNNNNNNNCAGCGAUGGUCAUGCAGACGGCCAUCGUCUUACAGAGGUCACACGCUUGUUGCCUAACCAAAGUCGUCGUAGUUCGUUCGGGUCAACAUAUCGGCCAUUGUGUUGAUCCCCAAACUCGUGCACAACAUACUACAUGAUUGGUUCACCGCGGUUGACCUCCUUGCCAUUGGAGAUCGUUCCAUGCCACGCACCUUUCUUCGGACUGUCUGGCAUCUUCACAUGGCCAGGAGCACAUGGAUAUAAUACUGAAUGUUUUGUCAGUGACCCAAGAUUACUCACGCAACUAGCUGGACACAUCAGAGGUUAUACAGACUAGCAAACCCAGAGCACACAUGGAAUUUGAUGCCAUGAAUACUUGCUACAGAUUUUUUUUUGGAAUACAGAGAGAAAGAACGGUCGUUGCACGACCGACCUAAACACAAACAACCUUCCUAAUGACUCGUGCCAUCCCACGAAUCAGAUCCUGGGUCCAGGAUCUACAGCUCCACUAUUAUCGCCUGUGAUCCGAUGUGCCAUGCCAUCCCAUGACUCGGUUCACGACGCGGUAGAAACGGGAGCGACCCCAACCUGACACAUGGACUCGAUGCAUGGACUCGACGCAAACAUGCUUGCCGUCGAGACCGACUCUCAGUGCGUACCAUCUGCUCGCAGGCAGGUCUAUGACACGUUAUUUGGAACAAACAGACUGAAGGGAAAAAACCUAGGGCAUUCACUUAGUUUACAUCAAUGGAUCAGCCCUCAAUCCACAAACCCACAUGGCGAAGUUGACUUAGUGAAUCUCGUCAUUCUCUGAGUCGGAUAAGUGGUUGUCAACCUGCUCGUCCCAAGCCUGCCAUGCCGU